This is a ribosomal RNA of Erinaceus europaeus (western European hedgehog), 98 nucleotides long. The record is from Ensembl. NCBI's taxonomy places the organism in Eukaryota, Metazoa, Chordata, Mammalia, Eulipotyphla, Erinaceidae.
GUCUACGGCCAUACCACCCUGAAUACGCCCGAUCUCGUCUGAUCUCGGAAGCUAAGCAAGGUUGGGCCUGGUUAGCACUUGGAUAGGAGAAGUUAACA